UUUCAAUAAUUCAUAUAAAAAAUAAAAAAUAAUUAUUUUUAUCAGAUCCGAUGAAUCUGCCUCACUCACACCGCCGUUCCUCUCUCACUCCUUCACGCCUCUCAACAUCUCACAUCCAUCUUGGUCUGUCUCCUCAAUCUUCACCUCCGCCUCUCAAUAUCUCAGAUGGGCGACACCGCCUGUGGUGAUGGAGAUGGACAACGUCGCCCGCCUGCCUGAAGGACGAUGACGACGACAGCACGACGGUGCUUAUGGACGACGAUAUAGAUCUGGAUCCGCAUCAGAUUGAAGAGACCGCAUCCUUGUCCAGAUCCUCGUCCUUAGAGAUAGUUCCGGGUUGUUUGGUUCUUGAAUCGGAAAGACGGCACAGCGGUGCUUAUUGACGACGUCGCCCACCUCCCUCUUCCAAUCUAUCGUCCGACGGCCCCGACGAUACAGAUCUGGAAUCGCAUCAGAUAGAAGAUACCGCAUCCUCAUCCAUAGAGAUAGUUCCGGGAUGUUUGGUUCUCUCGCAAAUCGGGAACGGGUAGCGCGUCCCUCACCACUUCCCUCGCUAGGGCUGUUGCUCCAACCAGAGGACUGCCUCCGCUAGGCUGCAGACUUUGAUGUAGAAGCAGCUGAGCAUGGAAUUGUGUAUAUUGAUGAAGUUGAUAAGAUAACUAAGAAGGUUGACUCUAGGUUGCUCCUACAAGAAACAAGGAUUCGUUUAGGAUUGUUCAUAAAUGGGUGAAAUUAGAUAUCUGCAAACAGUAACUUGUGCCAAGUAGAAAGUACUUUACCUUUCUCGUUCGAAUACCUUUCAGGCUCACUUCAAGUUGAUUCUCCAGAUUUGUUAGAUCUUUGAUGCUUAGUCCAGAAAGUUCUUUUCCCAAAAGCUGCCUGCAUUUAUGUGAAACAAAGAACUGGUAUGCUUCUUGUCUCUUGCUUUUGCUUCAUUUAGCUUUCACCUUAUCUUGA
This is a long non-coding RNA of Ipomoea nil (Japanese morning glory), 957 nucleotides long. RefSeq lists it as uncharacterized. The record is from RefSeq and is a predicted model, not a curated record. NCBI's taxonomy places the organism in Eukaryota, Viridiplantae, Streptophyta, Magnoliopsida, Solanales, Convolvulaceae. The transcript is spliced from 3 exons.